Molecule: transfer RNA, 76 nt
Filed under: bacterium
Lineage: Bacteria
Also listed under: 1 other name
Description: tRNA-Met
Rfam family: tRNA
About the family: Transfer RNA (tRNA) molecules are approximately 80 nucleotides in length. Their secondary structure includes four short double-helical elements and three loops (D, anti-codon, and T loops).
Source: RNAcentral
GGGGGUAUAGCUCAGUGGUUAGAGCAGAGGACUCAUAAUCCUUUGGUCCUUGGUUCAAGUCCAAGUACCCCCACCA